This is a non-coding RNA of Oryctolagus cuniculus (rabbit), 533 nucleotides long. The record is from RefSeq and is a predicted model, not a curated record. NCBI's taxonomy places the organism in Eukaryota, Metazoa, Chordata, Mammalia, Lagomorpha, Leporidae.
CCCGGCCUGACGCUCCCUCUGCAGCUGCUGCGGGAGAAGCAGACGACAAGAGUCAAGUUUAUCCUCCCCGGUGCCGCCUCAGCCUCCCUCCCCCGCAUCCACCAACUCCGCGCGCCCGCCCGGUACCUCGGCCGCGGCAGGAGCUCACCGCCCCAGGAACUCUGAUACGAAGCGUUCAAUACUGAUGAGCUGAACAGUGUCCAGCUUAAAGGGACCUUCCUUGAGGGUAUGCUUCGUUGACAUCCCAACAAUUUUUCAAUAUACUGUCUUAGAAGGAAGAAAAGUCAAGAUCAAGUGCAACGACCCAGUCCCAGGAAUAAAAGUCCCUGCUAAUACAGGGAAAAGCAGUGGAAGAUGGACCCUGCACCCACGUGGGAGACCCAGAGGAAACUCCUGGCUCCUGGCUUCAGUCUCGCCCAGACCUCGCCAUCACAGCCAUUUGAAGAGUGAACCAGUGGAUGGAAGACCUCUUUCUUGCUGACUCUGCCUCUUCCUCCCUGUAACUCCAUCUUUUAAAUAAAUAAAUACAUCUU